This 448-nucleotide ribosomal RNA is filed under the name uncultured bacterium. RNAcentral's name for it is "bacterial SSU rRNA". It matches the Rfam family "Bacterial small subunit ribosomal RNA", at positions 329 to 794 of the family's 1533-position model. The record is from RNAcentral.
UACCAGACUCCUACGGGAGGCAGCAGUGGGGAAUAUUGCACAAUGGGGGGAACCCUGAUGCAGCGACGCCGCGUGGGUGAAGGAGUACUUCGGUACGUAAAGCCCUAUCAGCAGGAAAGAAAAUGACGGUACCCGACUAAGAAGCCCCGGCUAACUACGUGCCAGCAGCCGCGGUAAUACGUAGGGGGCAAGCGUUAUCCGGAUUUACUGGGUGUAAAGGGAGCGUAGACGGCAGCGCAAGUCUGGAGUGAAAUGCCGGGGCCCAACCCCGGAACUGCUUUGGAAACUGUGCAGCUAGAGUGCGGGAGAGGUAAGCGGAAUUCCUAGUGUAGCGGUGAAAUGCGUAGAUAUUAGGAGGAACACCAGUGGCGAAGGCGGCUUACUGGACCGUAACUGACGUUGAGGCUCGAAAGCGUGGGGAGCAAACAGGAUUAGAUACCCCCGUAGC